Molecule: transfer RNA, 1786 nt
Filed under: Candidatus Wildermuthbacteria bacterium
Lineage: Bacteria; Candidatus Wildermuthiibacteriota
Description: partial 23S ribosomal RNA
Rfam family: Bacterial large subunit ribosomal RNA
Source: RNAcentral
GUUUACUAAUAAUAGAUGAGGGUUGCAGGGAUAAUAUACUCUAAACACAACCGAGGGUCGUUCGCGAUCUUCAGUUGUGUUUUGGAAAAAAGUUACAAAUUUGAUUGUUAGCCGAACGGCCCUGGAAAGGCCGACCAAAGCAGGUGAUAGUCCUUUAGGCAAAAAUAAUCAAACUUUUCAUAUUAUUUCCUAAGUACCCAUGGAGCAGACUAUCCGUGGCGAAUCAGGGCCUACUACGGUCCAAGACUAAAUACUUUUGGUGAUCGAUAGUGAACCAGUACCGUGAGGGAAAGGUGAAAAGAACCCCGGUUAGGGGAGUGAAAUAGAACUGAAACCAUACGCCUACAAAGAGCCGGAGCCUGUUCUGUAGCAAUACAGCGUGGGUGACGGUGUGCCUAUUGAAGAAUGAUCCAACGAGUUUUUACAAGCGGUAGGAUAAGCCCGAUAGGGCGCAUCCGUAGGGAAACCGAGUGUUAAAAGCGCGACUUACCCGCCUAAAUUUUUUGACUAAUUUGCGAAGCAAAUUGAACCCAAUUGGUCAAAAAACUUAGGCGGGAAUCGCUUGUAAAAGACCCGAAGCCAGGUGAGCUACCCAUGGCCAGGAUGAAGCCCUUCGAAAGAAGGGUGGAGGUCCGAACUGGUUGAUAGCGCAAUAUCAUCGGAUGAGCUGUGGGUCGGAGUGAAUAGCUUAUCGAACCUGGUAAUAGCUGGUUCUCCCCGAAAUGCCUUUAGGGGCAGCGCCCGUUAGUAGUAGUGGGGGUAGAGCUCUGAAUGGUUCGCCGUGCCAGCAAUGGUAGGCCUACCAACCAAACUACGAAUACCACUGCGUAAUGACGGGUAGUGAGACCGUGGGGGCAAAGCUUCAUGGUCGCGACGGGAUUAGCCGUUUACCACUAAAUAAGGUCCCUAAAUCUAUGCUAAGUGUUAAAGGAAGUACUCUGCCUUAGACAGGUAGGAUGUUGGCUUAGAAGCAGCCAUCAUUUAAAAAGUGCGUAACAGCUUACUACUCGAUUCCGCCGCAAGGCGGAGAGGUAGGGUGCGCCGAAGAUUUAUCGGGGCUAAGCAUAGUACCGAAUUUGUGGGUGCGGAAAUUUCACAAAGGAAUUUUUGAAAAUUUAUGCGUGGAAGUAGCUUAAUUGGCCAAAGCGUCGGUCUCCAAAACCGAAAGAUGCAGGUUCGAAUCCUGCCUUCCGCGCCACCCAAUUCCCGAGGGGUUUAUACUCGGGUCCUUUGUGAAGUUUCCGCACGGUAGGGGAGCACUUCAAGCAGCUGCGAAGCUCAUGACGCGAGUCGGGGUGGAGCGCUUGGAGGAGAAAAUGUUGGAAUGAGUAACCACAAGCGAGGUGAGACCCCUCGCCGCCGAAAGCCUAAGGUUUCCUCCGCAAUGUCAAUCACCGGAGGGUUAGGCGACGCUAAGGAUAACCGUGCCUUCGGGCAUGGGAAGCCGAUGCUAAGCCGGUUAAUAUUCCGGCCCUUGUUUGAAAAUCGAUGGAGUGACGGAGGACAUAAGUUGAAGCGGAUUAUUGGAUUUCCGUUUUUGAGUUCCAGGACUGUCGUUUGGCAAAUCCGGCGACUGACUUUAAUGUCAUAGUUCGAACCUGAAUAAACCUCGGGUAACCGGGGAAUUCCGAUGAAGAGCCUUCCAAGAAAAACUUCUAAGAUUAUUUUCAAACAACACGUACUUAAAACCGAAACAGGUGGGCAAGUGUAAGUGCACUAAGGCGAACGGGUGAUUAUUGGCUAAGGAACUCGGCAAACAAGUGGCCGUACCUUCGGUAUAAGGCCU